Molecule: long non-coding RNA, 609 nt
Filed under: Zalophus californianus (California sea lion)
Lineage: Eukaryota; Metazoa; Chordata; Mammalia; Carnivora; Otariidae
Description: lncRNA (ENSZCAG00015024455.1)
Source: RNAcentral
CAGGCUUGGACACGCACACAUCUCCUCCUGUAGCGGCCGCCACACUGGGCUUCUCCCAGGACAUGGCAGCUAGUCACGGUGCACGGAGCCCUCCCAUCCACCCUGGAAACCUGCAACGCCCCUGCCUUCCUCCGAGCAACCCCCCUCAAGCUGUUCUUCCUUCGGGAAUCACAGACAAGGACCUGCUCUGCACCCCCUCCCUCACCAUCCUAAAGAAAGAAACGGACUGACCGUUGGAGGAAAGGAAGACGAUACCCACAGAGCAUUACUCGCAGGUGACCCCUUCGCCUUCCUUUCGGGAUGUGUUUUGGAGGCACACCUCGGCUGCACGGGACCCUCGUCCUCCACCCGCGCCCCACCCCCACGGCCACCCCGGAUGCACGCCGCCCGCACACCCCGCCAGCUCCCAGCUGUGAAAUAUUUCCAGGUGUUUCCCACUUUCAUUAAGUAAUGCCAAAACGAGCAUCUGUGCAGAAAGCAUUUUCUGUAAUUAGAUUUAUGUCCUUGGGACAGAAUCCCAGAAGUGAAAUUAGCGGGUGGAGGCACAGACAUUUGGAAGGUUCUUAAUAAAUAUGUUCACGUCUGUCUCUAGCCGUGACCUUCCUGCCA